Sarcophilus harrisii (Tasmanian devil) is the source of this 956-nucleotide long non-coding RNA. RefSeq lists it as uncharacterized. The record is from RefSeq and is a predicted model, not a curated record. Lineage: Eukaryota; Metazoa; Chordata; Mammalia; Dasyuromorphia; Dasyuridae. The transcript has 4 exons.
CGUUAGCUCGAGGGGCAGGGACGGGGAGAGGCUGGCUCGGGGGAGAAAAGUCUCGGAGGGGUCCGCGCCCCGCUCUCCGAGCGGGAGCCUCCCUUUGGGGCCCCCUCGGUGGGCAGGACGGCCGCGAGGGGCCCCGGAGGCCGCGGGGCCGGAGCCCCGGCUGCCCGGCGCUUGGGGAGCGAGCUCUCCCCGAGGGCGCAGGAUCGGGGGCGAUUCAAACAAUGUCUGAGGCUCUCCCGGUGUGAGGGAGAGCGUUGUGGCCACCUCCGCUCAUCCUGCCUCCCAAGCUCCGGGGCUGCUCGGGCUCCUGCUGCCUCCGGGAUGCGGGCGCCGCGGCUCCGCAGCGUGGACAGCCUCUGCCUUUCGUCCCGGGGCUUCGCCAAGUCUGUACAGUGAGUGGGGGAAACAGAGGAACAGCCGCUGCCCUAGGGCUUUCCUCCUUCUGGUACCAGGGAGAGCUCCCACCUGGGCAAGGGCUGGGAAGAUCAUGCCGUACCCCUUGCCUCUCCGCGCCCGAGUACUCGCAGGAGCAGGGCUAGGUGACAGCAUGACAGCACAGGGAGGAGAAUGUCUUUACCUCUUAUUGGGGCACACCAUGCUUCACAAUCCUGUGCCAGUGUUUCCCAUGUCUUACAAUCAAUUCUAAAAUUCUUCAGCGGGAUCUUGAAAGGAUUGUUGCAUUGCUUCUUCGGAGCUCCAUGUAAAGAGUUGACUUGGUGAUCUUCAGAAUUUUCCUGAGACAAUCCACAUGGGAGCAAUUCAGUUUCCUGGCAUGAUGCUGGAAUAUUCUCCAGGUUCCAGAGACAUACAGCAAUGGGAUCAGCACAAUGGCUCUAUAGACCUUCGAUGUGGUAGGCCAUCUAAUACCUCUUCUCUUCCACACUUUCCUUCAAAGACCCUCAAACAUUGAGCUAGCUCUAGCAAGUAUGCAUCAACUUUAUCACCUAUGUGGACAU